Non-coding RNA from Alligator mississippiensis (American alligator), 414 nucleotides. Lineage: Eukaryota; Metazoa; Chordata; Crocodylia; Alligatoridae. The record is from the annotation of a RefSeq genome assembly.
AUGGCCUGUGCCCUGUUCUUCCUCAUGCUGAUCAUCACGUACUGCUCAGGGGUCUGGUCACAGCCUGUGGUGACUCAGGAGCCUGCGGUGUCAGUGUCCCCAGGAGGGACUGUCACUCUGUCCUGCAGCCUGAGCACCGGAGCCAUCACCACCAGCAACUAUCCUGGCUGGUACCAGCAGAAACCUGGCUCUCCCCCUCGGGUGCUUAUAUACCGCACCAACAGCAGGCCCUCGGGGAUCCCCACCCGGUUCUCGGGGUCCAUAUCUGGUCAGAAGGCCGCCUUGACCAUCACGGGGGUCCAAGCCGAGGAUGAGGCCGACUACUACUGUCAGCUCAGACAGAGCCCUGCAUAUCAGAUAUGUAUUUUAAAUGCUCUGAACUUUGCCAAUGACAGUAUUUCUUGGUCUCCAUGA